GAGUUUGAUCUUGGCUCAGGAUGAACGCUAGCGGCAGGCCUAACACAUGCAAGUCGAGGGGUAGAGUUAGCUUGCUAACUUGAGACCGGCGCACGGGUGCGUAACGCGUAUGCAAUCUGCCUUGUACAGAGGGAUAGCCCAGAGAAAUUUGGAUUAAUACCUCAUAGUAUAUUUGAAUGGCAUCAUUUAAAUAUUAAAGUUCCAACGGUACAAGAUGAGCAUGCGUCCCAUUAGUUAGUUGGUAAGGUAACGGCUUACCAAGACAAUGAUGGGUAGGGGUCCUGAGAGGGAGAUCCCCCACACUGGUACUGAGACACGGACCAGACUCCUACGGGAGGCAGCAGUGAGGAAUAUUGGUCAAUGGGCGCAAGCCUGAACCAGCCAUGCCGCGUGCAGGAUGACGGUCCUAUGGAUUGUAAACUGCUUUUGUACGGGAAGAAACACUCCUACGUGUAGGAACUUGACGGUACUGUAAGAAUAAGGAUCGGCUAACUCCGUGCCAGCAGCCGC
This 510-nucleotide ribosomal RNA is filed under the name uncultured Flavobacterium sp. RNAcentral's name for it is "bacterial SSU rRNA". It matches the Rfam family "Bacterial small subunit ribosomal RNA", at positions 9 to 518 of the family's 1533-position model. Lineage: Bacteria; Pseudomonadati; Bacteroidota; Flavobacteriia; Flavobacteriales; Flavobacteriaceae. The record is from RNAcentral.